Molecule: ribosomal RNA, 352 nt
Filed under: uncultured bacterium
Lineage: Bacteria
Description: bacterial SSU rRNA
Rfam family: Bacterial small subunit ribosomal RNA
Source: RNAcentral
GGGCCCGCACAAGCGGUGGAGCAUGUGGUUUAAUUCGAUGAUACGCGAGGAACCUUACCAGGGCUUAAAUGUAGUGGGACAGGUCUAGAGAUAGACCCUUCUUCGGACUCAUUACAAGGUGCUGCAUGGUUGUCGUCAGCUCGUGCCGUGAGGUGUCAGGUUAAGUCCUAUAACGAGCGCAACCCCUAUCGUUAGUUGCCAGCGAGUAAUGUCGGGAACUCUAACGAAACUGCCGGUGCAAACCGUGAGGAAGGUGGGGAUGACGUCAAAUCAUCACGGCCCUUACGUCCUGGCUACACACGUGCUGACAAUGGUCGGUACAGACGAGCAGCCACUACAGCGAGUAGGAGCA